GAUGAACGCUGGCGGCAGGCCUAAUACAUGCAAGUCGAACGCCCUAGCAAUAGGGAGUGGCGCACGGGUGAGUAAUGCAUGGGAACAUACCCUUCGGUACGGAACAACACCGGGAAACUGGUGCUAAUACCGUAUAACAUCUACGGAUCAAAGAUUUAUCGCCGGGGGAUUGGCCCAUGUUGGAUUAGCUUGUUGGUCGGGUAAGGGCCUACCAAGGCGACGAUCCAUAGCUGGUCUGAGAGGAUGAUCAGCCACACUGGAACUGAGACACGGUCCAGACUCCUACGGGAGGCAGCAGUAAGGAAUAUUGGACAAUGGGUGAAACCCUGAUCCAGCCAUGCCGCGUGAAUGAAGAAGGCCUUAGGGUUGUAAAGUUCUUUUAGGGAUGACGAUAAUGACGGUAGUCCCAGAAAAAGCUCCGGCUAACUCCGUGCCAGCCGCCGCCGUAA
RNAcentral lists this ribosomal RNA (449 nucleotides) under uncultured bacterium. RNAcentral describes it as "partial 16S ribosomal RNA". It matches the Rfam family "Bacterial small subunit ribosomal RNA", at positions 28 to 523 of the family's 1533-position model. The record is from RNAcentral.